RNAcentral lists this long non-coding RNA (399 nucleotides) under Brassica napus (rape). RNAcentral describes it as "long non-coding RNA (BNAP_LNC013359)". Lineage: Eukaryota; Viridiplantae; Streptophyta; Magnoliopsida; Brassicales; Brassicaceae. The record is from RNAcentral.
UGGAUGUGGUUGAGAUGAGAAGCCGUCAUCACACUCUUAGAACAGAAAUCCAAAAGAGAUAAGAAGACAAGCUUAUAGAACCGUUUAUUAAAAUAAAAAUGAUCGAUUUAUGAUCUUGUUUAUAUAACCAUUUAAAAAUCAUACCAUAAGCCAUAUAUUAUUUACCAGAGAUCACAGAAAUAUACUAAAGAUCAGUUACAAAAACAAAAGAACUCAUAUACUAAAGAUCAGUUUCAUCUCAGCAGAACUACACACUGCAAUACAUUUAUUAGAACCAUACAGAAACAGCAGAUCAUUUUGAAACCAAACCAGGAAAGUGGACCCAUCUGCGUGAAAGCCAAAGUAGUUGAGGAAGCAGAGUAAUGAUGUUCAGUAGGUCAGAGAGACAAUAGGUGAUGG